Spinacia oleracea (spinach) is the source of this 4165-nucleotide long non-coding RNA. RefSeq lists it as uncharacterized. The record is from RefSeq and is a predicted model, not a curated record. The transcript is spliced from 3 exons. Lineage: Eukaryota; Viridiplantae; Streptophyta; Magnoliopsida; Caryophyllales; Amaranthaceae.
UAACUCUCUUCGUUUCCAUUCAUAAAUAGAGUAAGAGGGGUGUAAAUGAUCCGACACUCUGGCUUUCUCAUUGCACUUUCGUCCAAAUUUGAACUGCAACCGCUGACAACCUUGGUUACUCUUUACUCUCUCGGGUUUCCGUGAAGUCGAGCCAGGAUAAUUCAGGGGAAGGGGAAGAAAUGGAAGCUGUGGCUUGUGGAGGAGUCCAUUAGGAGAAUUGGAUACUUGGAGAGUGUUAAGACCAUGUGUUCAGUGCUGUUGUUGCUGACUUGCUGCUAUUUUGGGUAGUUGUUCAAGUAUUUGAAAUUUAAAUUUUAUAGUUUCAUAAUCACGUUGAAGGGUUUUUGGUUGAUGGAUAUUCAAUUAUUGGGUCUCAAUAUUCUCAAAAGGGUUUCAAACUCUAAAAGUGUGUAUGGUUUAGUUAUUGCUAUUUGUAGAACUGUUUAGAAACCUGGUCAUUAGUGGAAGCUAAGAAUAAAUGAUGAGUCCUUUCAAUUUGACGAUAUAUUCGAGAUAGACUGUCAGGACCAGUCCUGUGACUAAGAAAUGUCUAUCAAGUGAACUUGAAUGUCAAAAGUUGAAAAUGGUCCCUGGUCGGAGUUUUCUAUAAAUGGGAUAAGACAAGAAAAUUAAACAACAACUCAUAUGACCUUGUGCUUGUGAUAAUGUGCUUUUAUUGGAUAUAUCCUGUGGGUUUUUUCCUUUGAGAAAACUGACUAAAAUGGGUUGAGAUUUGUGAUAAAAAUGUGUCACCAUGGUUAGCAACAUAUAAUGUAUCAAAUGUUCAGUUAUGACAAUAUGUUAGGAUUGAUUGGUAUAGGGUGCUUUAAUGUUUUAAGCCUCCUACCAUCCAUUUUUAUUGGUAAUUAGUUGAUCUUAAGGGGCAUGUUUCUGUGCAUAUAUCAAAAGUGUUCAGUAUUCUUCACUUCUCUGUGUGUGAGUGUGUGCGUGCGCAUGUGUGAGUUCGUGUGGAACUGUGUAUAUUCAUAUAGUAAGAAAAUUUAACUUUCAAAAUUUUGUUCUUAGUGGCAAAGCUGUUAGAGUUGCCUUAUGAUCUGUGGAAGUGGUUCUAAUAUACUAUGUUGGCUUGAUUGUGGUUGCACGAAUCUAGACAACCUCUCUCCACUAUGGUUUUUCGAAGCAAUGAGGAGUGUGGCGGUUAAAGAAAUUAAUAUAAUAAAUAGUUAAGUAGAUACAUAUUACCAAAAAAAAAUAGUUUCUUUUACUGGGGCAAAAUAGUUCAGGACUGAAUAUGAAAUGUGACAGUACCCUUGGCCCUUGCUUAAAUUGCAUAGAUAAAGAAUGUGAAAUUAGAGGAAGAAGUAUACGGAAAAUCUAACCGACUUCUUGAAAUCUUACACUCCCCAAGGCUGCACACCCCUGUUUAUUGGACUAAGGGAGUGAAUGGUUUCUUGACCUUCUGUUUGCUUCUUAUAGAGAUCCUUGGGAGAGAAUAAUUUUGCAAAUCACGUUCCGUUUGUUUAUUACUUAAAUUGCUAUGUAUAGCUUUGAAUUUUGACUUGUUUAAUUCCAAAAAUUUCAUGGAGCAUUGAAGUUCGUUUUUGGAUUUUGUUUUCUGUUCUGUGAUGUUUAUGGUUUUGUCCAAUUUGGGCUAUAAUCUUUUUGUUGUUUGCUGGAUCUUCUCUUUAUCAGUGUCAAGUGGAGUGUAUAUAAGGCAGAUGACUCUGCAAUACUCAGCAAUGCUACACCUUUAGAAUGACAUAUUUGUUAUACACCUCUAUUUGCAUUGAUUUGGUAUACAUCCCUUCUCAUGAGAUAAAUUUCCUGUAUUGUAUCAAAGUUUUCUACCUUCACCAUGCUUGUUCACAAGUAGUCAGGUAAUCGAGGAAAUGGAAAUAUUAACUGCUAGUCCUACUGUUUCUCUUGAUAGGUUUUUUUUUCUUGCCUUAUCGUUAGAGUAGCUAACUGAUGGGUGGUUGGAACAGUUUCAACCCACGAGAUAUUACAAGUAUUGAGAAUUCUCUUAAAAGUUGAAAGUUUUUCGUUCUAUUUCCUCCUUUUGUGUUCAUUCCAUUUCUUCAUAUUCUUUUAACUUUUGGAGGUUUCAGAUAAUUUGGAGAAGUAGUGACCUGAUUGCUCGUGGACUUGAUGUUGCACUCUCACUUGCUCCGCGGAAGAAUUCUAUGGCAGACAUAGCAUUCAAAUUACACUAAUCACACGUUUCACUGUUCAUAAUUUAAUAUGCUAGCAUUUGAGCUCCUCGGUUAUCAAGGUAUAUAUACUUUUUUCUUCUUUAAAGACCAAGGUAUAGCUACUAAUAAGUUGUGAAAUACGUAGUAUUUAGUGACAUAUCUUCACUUCACGUCCUCAGUGCAUGUUAAUAUGUUUCAAAUUAUUAAUUUCGAAAUCUAGUAGGAUUUUGGAUUUUGGCUAUUAUUUUUUCAUUUAUUUUCAGCUACUGUAACUGAUCCUGGUUUCAGCAAUUUCAUGUUCAUUAUCACGAUAAAGAAGGAACCAAAACUUUCUGUCUAUUUUAUCUUUCACAAAUUUGCUAUCAAAUAUUGGUUUGAAACCUUCUUUAUUCACUAUUGUUUAUUGCAACGUUGUUCAAUAUUUUGGAGAAAAGAUAAUGCCAAUUGGUAGCUAUAAUGUUGCUUGGGUUAGGUUGUAUUUUCUUCUCUUCAUGUUGAAGUAGCUAACUGAAGGGUAUUUGAAAAAGCAAGAUUUUCAUAAAUGGAAGCAAAUCAACCUUUUUUUCAUUUUUUUUUAAAAAUUAAAUCUCCUUUGCACUUUUAUAUGUGUAUUAUACGUAAUUAAUGGGGUGCGUAAAUUAUUUUACCUUUCACAUGUAAAACUCUAUCCAUCUCACUCAGCAUGAUGUGGAAACUCUAUCUGUGAUUCUCUGUGUCCAAGGACUUCCCUAUAAAAAUGAUAUCACACAUCUCUUAAUCAGUGUGCUUUGUCCAUCUCUCUCUCUCUCUCUCUCUGGUUUUCUUGGUCGUUGUUUUACUGAGUAGCAACUUAGCAUGGAGAUUCAAAAGGAUCAAGUAGCUUUUAUGCUUGCUACCAUGAAAUGUCCGAGGAAGAGGAAAAGGAAGAGAUCUAAGCCCCAACAUAUAUCAUAUUGCGUCAGCAAUUCACCAAAAUAAACUCUGUCGAAUGGGAGAUUUGCAACCGCAUGUAACCAUUACCUCAUUUUCGUCCUCGUGCCAAAUCCAAAGCUGCUGUCUGACUUUUGCAAAGGGGUCACGAAAAUGCCUACCACAACCAAUACCACCACUAUAAUUUCCCCGUGCAAUCUCCAUCGACAUUCUCUCUCUCCUUUGCAUCCGUACCAUGGUUGCCUCUAUUGUGCGUACUACCCCAGCGAUGGUGUCGUCUAUGGACACACAUCAACGUCUUGCCCAAAAAGUUUGUACUUGAUCUCGACCACCUGAACCCUGGUCUCAGCCACACUGAUGAGCGUAAGCCUACAAUUUCUAUUUCCAUUGAUUAAUGGAUUCUCGUCUUUGCGCUUGAAAGGUCGGAAAGAUCCUCAAAUAGAGGCUAAAAAAAUGGAUGACUCCUUCCUUGAAUAUCCAAGUGAUGUAAGUGAUUCUUUGGAGAUCUCUCAUCCUUUAUCAUCAUUAUCAUCAUCAUUACCCCAUUGCCUCAAAGAGGCUCCCGCAACAAGCGGGUAAGGGGGGGUCGGACGUAUGCAACUUUACCCGGUGCAGAGAGGUUGUUUCCAAUUGACCCAAAAGCGAUAAUAGGAAAAUGAGACGACCAUCUUUUACUUCAUGGAAAGGAAUCGAAGAGGCUUUAAGAGGCUUUUUGAUUUAGUCCAUUACAUCCCAAAGCCAAAAGAACAAAUGAAUCUUUUGCGAAUAGAAAUUUCAGUCGCCUCAUUUGUCGAAGAUGUGAUCAUUUCAAGUACAGGCAACAGAGGUCCUUGAUGAUUGAUCAAUAUGUAUUAACGGAUUGCAAACGUAUGUAAUAAAUAAAUAGAUAUUUUGAAUUUAAGUUUAACUAGAAAAGUUCAUUCUUGGUUGUUUAGGAGCCACAAUGGACAACGAUGUAACAACCACGAUUUGAUCUGAUGUCUUUAUGUGCGAGAAAUGUAACUUAGGUUUGGAACUUGUAAAUUAGUACUUAUCUUUAUGACUACCUGUGAAUAAACAAUGUAAUCUCUCCAUUUCCAAGUACUUCGUCUGGUAUUUUUCUC